GCAUCACCCAGGAGGGUGCUCCUCUGGCCCCAGUGCAUUUGUGGAGUCAAGGCCAAAAGCCCUAUGUCUCCACCAGAGCCUUGCUGGAGACCUGACAAUGCGUGGGAAGAGCUGCUGCUGACCAGGCUGGAGGGGAAGAGAGCUCAGCAGACCCUGGGGCAUCACAGAAGGGAGUCCCAGGGACUUCUGCAGGCUCUGGGCCCCACUCGGCCUGGAGGAAGAUGGACCAGGUGGUCUUGCAUGAGCACCAAGAGCUGGAUAUGUUUUCUUUGGAUGGAAAUGUUUGUCUGGAGCUGCUGGAAGGCCACCAGUGCACUCCCACCAUCCAGAAAGCACCCAGGAGCCCAGCACCAGGAGCCAUGUUCCCUUUCCAGCCGGGCUGACUAUUUGUGCGAGCCCUCACGCGACUCCUGUGCCUCACAGCAGGCACAGCUUUGUCAAGGGGGAAGGAAAUGAGGAGCGCACAGGGAGAGUCUCACUGAUCCCAGCUGGCAGCUGGCUGCCUGGAGGCCACACAGGGCCUUUUCACAUCCUGCAUAAACAAGCAAGGGGCACGAAAGGCUGUUAUCAAAGAGCAUCGGUUCCAGCUGCAGCUCAGGUGGGGAUCCCCUAGGCUCACCUUGCCUCGGAAGUGAGGGCAAACACAAUUGCACUUCAACUUCUGCUGCAGAUCUGAUGAGGAAUACUUUGCAAUGAUUAUUAAUAACCGGAGGAGCACUUCCCUGACGUUGAUAUUGCGAGGGCUGACUCGUAGUUGGUUCUGUGCUUGGAAGGCAUUGAGUGCUUGCAGUUACUGUUUCUGUCAGGGACACCAGUGCUGAAUGAAAUAGGAGUCAUUGAAAACAAUGUUGCAACAAAGAUUGUAGAAGUACCUUCAAGGGUCAGGACCGACCUAUGAGAUAACCUUCUUUGCGUUCUAUUCAAGAGGCAGACCGAACUCCUUGUAGAUAUUAGUUGUAGUAAGAAAACUUGCUGGAAUAAAAGAAAAAUAAUAAUAAAUAACA
RNAcentral lists this long non-coding RNA (1004 nucleotides) under Numida meleagris (helmeted guineafowl). RNAcentral describes it as "lncRNA (ENSNMEG00000014133.1)". Lineage: Eukaryota; Metazoa; Chordata; Aves; Galliformes; Numididae. The record is from RNAcentral.